This 68-nucleotide transfer RNA is filed under the name Citrobacter freundii. Its description in RNAcentral is "tRNA-Leu". The record is from RNAcentral. RNAcentral also lists the same sequence under 7 other names. Lineage: Bacteria; Pseudomonadati; Pseudomonadota; Gammaproteobacteria; Enterobacterales; Enterobacteriaceae.
GGCGGAAUUGGUAGACGCGCUAGCUUCAGGUGUUAGUGUCCUUAGGAUGUGGGGGUUCGAGUCCCCCC